Molecule: ribosomal RNA, 253 nt
Filed under: uncultured bacterium
Lineage: Bacteria
Description: partial 16S ribosomal RNA
Rfam family: Bacterial small subunit ribosomal RNA
Source: RNAcentral
UACGAAGGGGGCUAGCGUUGCUCGGAAUCACUGGGCGUAAAGGGUGCGUAGGCGGGUCUUUAAGUCAGGGGUGAAAUCCUGGAGCUCAACUCCAGAACUGCCUUUGAUACUGAAGAUCUUGAGUUCGGGAGAGGUGAGUGGAACUGCGAGUGUAGAGGUGAAAUUCGUAGAUAUUCGCAAGAACACCAGUGGCGAAGGUGGCUCACUGGCCCGAUACUGACGCUGAGGCACGAAAGCGUGGGGAGCAAACAGG